UACGAAGGGGGCUAGCGUUGUUCGGAAUUACUGGGCGUAAAGCGCGUGUAGGCGGGCCGUUAAGUCGAGGGUGAAAGCCCAGAGCUCAACUCUGGAAUUGCCUUCGAUACUGGCGGCCUGGAGCAUGAUAGAGGCAAGUGGAAUUGCGAGUGUAGAGGUGAAAUUCGCAGAUAUUCGCAGGAACACCGGUGGCGAAGGCGACUUGCUGGAUCAUUGCUGACGCUGAGACGCGAAAGCGUGGGGAG
This 245-nucleotide ribosomal RNA is filed under the name uncultured Hyphomicrobiales bacterium. RNAcentral describes it as "uncultured Rhizobiales bacterium partial 16S ribosomal RNA". It matches the Rfam family "Bacterial small subunit ribosomal RNA", at positions 524 to 768 of the family's 1533-position model. The record is from RNAcentral. Lineage: Bacteria; Pseudomonadati; Pseudomonadota; Alphaproteobacteria; Hyphomicrobiales.